CCCUUAGAUGUUCUGGGCCGCACGCGUGCUACACUGAUGCAUUCAACGAGUCUAAAACCUGGUCUGAUAGGGCUGGGUAAUCUUUUGAAAGUACAUCGUGAUUGGGAUAGAUGAUUGCAAUUCUUCAUCUUCAACGAGGAAUGCCUAGUAAACGCAAGUCAUCAGCUUGCAUUGAUUACGUCCCUGCCCUUUGUACACACCGCCCGUCGCUCCUACCGAUUGAAUGAUCCGAUGAAUACCAUGGAUUGAGAGUACGAAUAGGUUCGCUUAUUUCUGCUGCUCGAGAAGUGGAGUAAAUCUUAUCAUUUAGAGGAAGGAGAAGUCGUAACA
This 330-nucleotide ribosomal RNA is filed under the name uncultured eukaryote. RNAcentral describes it as "partial 18S ribosomal RNA". It matches the Rfam family "Eukaryotic small subunit ribosomal RNA", at positions 1470 to 1796 of the family's 1831-position model. The record is from RNAcentral.